AGCAGCCGCGGUAAUUCCAGCUCCAAUAGCGUGUAUUAAAGUUGUUGCAGUUAAAAAGCUCGUAGUUGAAUUUCGGGAUUGACACAUCGGUCGUGCCUUAAGGGGUAUGAACUGGUGUAGUCAAUUUCUCACCUUCUGGAGAACCGCGAUGCCCUUAAUUGGGUGUCGCGGGGAACCAGGACCUUUACUUUGAAAAAAUUAGAGUGUUUAAAGCAGGCAUUUUGCUUGAAUACAUUAGCAUGGAAUAAUAAAAUAGGACGGCAUGAUUCUAUUUUGUUGGUUUCUAGGAUCACCGUAAUGAUUAAUAGGGAUAGUUGGGGGCAUUAGUAUUCAAUUGUCAGAGGUGAAAUUCUUGGAUUUAUUGAAGACUAACUACUGCGAAAGCAUUUGCCAAGGAUGUUUUCAUUAAUCAAGAACGAAAGUUAGGGGAUCGAAGACGAUCAGAUACCGUCGUAGUCUUAACCAUAAACUAUGCCGACUAGGAAUCAGACGAUGUUAAUUUUUUAAUGACUCGUUUGGC
This 520-nucleotide unclassified non-coding RNA is filed under the name uncultured Entrophospora. RNAcentral describes it as "SSU rRNA". It matches the Rfam family "Eukaryotic small subunit ribosomal RNA", at positions 569 to 1084 of the family's 1831-position model. Lineage: Eukaryota; Fungi; Glomeromycota; Glomeromycetes; Entrophosporales; Entrophosporaceae. The record is from RNAcentral.